RNAcentral lists this transfer RNA (73 nucleotides) under Chloropicon laureae. RNAcentral describes it as "tRNA-Val". It matches the Rfam family "tRNA". Rfam says of the family: Transfer RNA (tRNA) molecules are approximately 80 nucleotides in length. Their secondary structure includes four short double-helical elements and three loops (D, anti-codon, and T loops). The record is from RNAcentral. Lineage: Eukaryota; Viridiplantae; Chlorophyta; Chloropicophyceae; Chloropicales; Chloropicaceae.
GGGUAAUUAGCUCAGUUGGUAGAGCGCCUCGCUUACAACGAGAUUGUCAGCGGUUCGAGCCCGUUAUUACCCA